CUUGACGUGGUGCGAGAAUCGGUGGUCAGAUGACGGGGGCGAGCGGUGUUCGGAUAUCCGUGGGGUGAAGUGCGCGUAGGCGGCAGAUCAAGGACGGAGUGGAUGCACCGGGCGUAACCUUGGAACUGCGUCUGGGACUGGUAUGGUAGAGAUCGGGGGAGGAGGGUGGAAUUUCCAGUGUAGAGGUUAAAGUCGUAGAUAUUGGGAAGAACACCGGUGGCGAAGGCGGCUCUCUGGACCGAGACUGACGCUGAGGCGCGAAAGCGUGGGGAGCAAACAGGAUUAGAUACCCCUGUAGUC
RNAcentral lists this ribosomal RNA (300 nucleotides) under uncultured Bacillus sp. RNAcentral's name for it is "bacterial SSU rRNA". It matches the Rfam family "Bacterial small subunit ribosomal RNA", at positions 496 to 795 of the family's 1533-position model. The record is from RNAcentral. Lineage: Bacteria; Bacillati; Bacillota; Bacilli; Caryophanales; Bacillaceae.